RNAcentral lists this ribosomal RNA (253 nucleotides) under uncultured bacterium. RNAcentral's name for it is "partial 16S ribosomal RNA". It matches the Rfam family "Bacterial small subunit ribosomal RNA", at positions 524 to 776 of the family's 1533-position model. The record is from RNAcentral.
UACAGAGACUGCAAGCGUUAUUCGGAUUCACUGGGCGUAAAGGGUGCGCAGGUGGCCAUGUGUGUGAGGCGUGAAAGCCCGGGGCUUAACCCCGGAAUUGCACCUCAAACUACAUGGCUAGAGCAUUGGAGAGGGGAGCAGAAUUCACGGUGUAGCAGUGAAAUGCGUAGAUAUCGUGAGGAAUACCAGAGGCGAAGGCGGCUCCCUGGACAAUUGCUGACACUCAGGCACGAAAGCGUGGGGAGCAAAAGGG